AUGGCUUAUGUACCAAAACAACCACCAAAUAAGCAUAGUAAAACUUGCCAAUGUCUCUGGGUUCAGCAAACAAGGCAUAUAUCACUUGACCAAAUUAACUGUAGGUCUUCCAAACCUCCAGCAGCUUGCAGAUCUUCCACAACUCCAUCAACUUGUGAAGUGGUACCUAAAGACAGAGCAUUUAACCAUGUGGCAUAUGUGGUUAGCAACUCAAAACUUGAUAAACAAUUUAAAACAGAAUAUGUGGCCUUUGGUCAUAGCUGGCUAGUGGCUACAAAGAACACAAAACAAUGCAUCGUAUAA
Molecule: ribosomal RNA, 303 nt
Filed under: Triticum aestivum (bread wheat)
Lineage: Eukaryota; Viridiplantae; Streptophyta; Magnoliopsida; Poales; Poaceae
Description: partial small subunit ribosomal RNA
Source: RNAcentral